RNAcentral lists this ribosomal RNA (964 nucleotides) under uncultured marine bacterium. RNAcentral describes it as "bacterial SSU rRNA". It matches the Rfam family "Bacterial small subunit ribosomal RNA", at positions 56 to 1062 of the family's 1533-position model. The record is from RNAcentral.
UGCAAGUCGAACGAGAUCUUCGGAUCUAGUGGCAGACGGGUGAGUAACGCGUGGGAACCUGCCCAGUAGUAGAGGACAACUUGGGGAAACUUAAGCUAAUACUUUAUACGUCCUUCGGGAGAAAGCUUUAUGCGCUAUUGGAUGGGCCCGCGUUAGAUUAGUUUGUUGGUGAGGUAAUGGCUCACCAAGACUACGAUCUAUAGCUGGUCUGAGAGGAUGAUCAGCCACACUGGGACUGAGACACGGCCCAGACUCCUACGGGAGGCAGCAGUGGGGAAUAUUGGACAAUGGGGGCAACCCUGAUCCAGCGAUGCCGCGUGAGUGAUGAAGGCCCUAGGGUUGUAAAACUCUUACGUCAGGGAAGAUAAUGACGGUACCUGAAGAAGAAGAUCCGGCUAACUCCGUGCCAGCAGCCGCGGUAAUACGGAGGGAUCUAGCGUUAUUCGGAAUUACUGGGCGUAAAGCGAGCGUAGGCGGAUUUGUAAGUUGGAGGUGAAAUCCCAGAGCUUAACUCUGGAACUGCCUUCAAAACUACAUUUCUUGAGUUUGGUAGAAGAGAGUGGAAUUCCUAGUGUAGAGGUGAAAUUCGUAGAUAUUAGGAGGAACACCGGUGGCGAAGGCGACUCUCUGGGCCAACACUGACGCUGAGGUUCGAAAGCAUGGGUAGCGAACAGGAUUAGAUACCCUGGUAGUCCAUGCAGUAAACGAUGAGUGCUAGAUGUUGGGAAUUUAAAUUUCCAGUAUCGCAGUUAACGCGUUAAGCACUCCGCCUGGGAAGUACGGCCGCAAGGCUAAAACUCAAAUGAAUUGACGGGGACCCGCACAAGCGGUGGAUCAUGUGGUUUAAUUCGAAGAUACGCGAAGAACCUUACCGGCCCUUGACAUACCAAUCGCGGACUUAAGAGAUUAAGUCUUUCACUUCGGGUGGAUUGGAUACAGGUGCUGCAUGGCUGUCGUCAGCUCG